GCCCAUUUAAAUCACCACUAAAUCAUGGUACUGGCUAACAAAUUGCUCAAUAACCUUGAUAACUAACUCCUGAUUGGUUAACAGAUUGACUCCUCCCAGCCGUGUGUCCACUCUGCUGAGAGUGUCUGAUUUUUAUGAUUGAAGCUCUCCUAAUUAUCAAUAAUUUGCUUUCUGGAUGAAGUCGCAUUAACAGGCCUCCUAAAAAGUUUCUGAACUGCAUCCAGGUGGUUGAAAUAAUCUCAGCCAAUUUUUUAUUUUUGCUGCUCUUGUGUCCUGCUUCAGAAAUGUUUUAGAAUCCCACAUAUUUAGAAUGUGAAUGCAUUAGAAACUUCUUUAAAGCGUAUUCCAGUCUAAGCUAGGCAUUUCCUAGUAUUAAAUUGCCUAAUUGGAAGGGAGUUGUCUGUCAAGAGCAGCAGCAGCAGCAGCUGAGUAGCUCCUCUGGGGACCUACCAAAGUCUCCCCUUUGGGGACUACUUUGGGGAUUGCGGGCCAUGUGAUUUGCGGGGUUUUUCUUUGUUUUUGGCGAAGCUUCUUUAGACAGGUCUCCCCCCAUCUGAAGGCGAAGGGGAACGCUGGGACUCCUUUGGGCAUUGUAGGUCAAUACCAAAGAGGUUUUUGUUGUUUUUUAUUUGCCUCAGGCGAACCUGGGCUUUUUUUAAUGGAUAGAUGUGAGGCAAGGCCAGUCCUGGGUCAGAGGUGUGGGGGGGGGCUGAGCCUUUUUCCCUGGCUGCUGGUGGUGUAUCCCUUAAUGUGCCUUUGGAGCCCGAAGCCCAAUUGCAGAGAGUGGCAAAGGCAAGGGGUCCAGCUGAAGGGUAGGGGUGGGGGACGGAGGUCUGUGGACGAGCUACGCAGGCGCAGAUUGAAAGGCAGGCCAGGGGGCUUGGAGCGCAUGCGCAGAGUACAAGGCAGGCCAGGGGGCUUGGAGCGCAGGUGCAGGCGCAGGCAGGCAGAGGGGGAAGGGAGCGGAAAGUUCCCGCCUUUUCUGUCAGAGCCUCCCUGUGUCACUGUGCCUAGCAUUCAGCUGGGCCAAGGCAAAGGACGGGAAGUUGCCUGUGGAGGGUGUGAGGUAGGGGAGCAGCACUGGUCACAUCAGGCACCCCUGCCGAGAGGAGGAGGCAUUGGGAGUGGCUGCUGCCGCGCGGCCCGCCUCCUGUGUCUUCCUCUGGGUUCUUCAGUAGUCCCGCCUGCUGCGUGUACUGGUCAGCUCCGUGGGCAGGCCUGCCCCUGAAAGCUGCCCCCUCCCUCUCAAUUUCCCACCUCCCACACUGCCCCUCCUCUCUGUGGGGACACCCACCAGAAAGUCCCCUCCUUCAGUAGCCCCACUCCCAUGUCCCCAACUUCCUCAGGUGCUCAGCUCCCCCUCCCCCACCCCCUUCACCUCUCGGUCUCCCUCUUGAGGCCACGUAUUGGUACUGCAUCCCAGGAGGGGUUUUAUUUGUAAUGGGUUUGAAAUAAGCUUUUAGAGCUCUGUGCAAGUCUCCUCUUGGACCCCAAGCCACGUACACAUCCUGACGUCAUAGGCCUAAAUAUGAGUGGACCUUGGCCUUGCAGGGAUGAGAAAGCUGUCCCUUUUUUAAGCCAAGAUGCCUGUCACAUAGACAUAUGGUUGCAGGGUUGGUACCAGGGCGACCUGUGAAUGAGGGUGUCUGUAACCUGGUAGUGGUGGUCACAAAAAGGGAUUUUUCCUUUGUGGGAUGGGACCCGAGAAGAAGGAGCAGGGAGUCUGAGAAUAUGGGUGAAGAAUGACAGACUGAGACAAGUCAAAGUAAUAGAUAGGGCAGACGGGAUCCCCUAUGGUAUUUUCCUUGGUGAAAGAAUUAAAGGAAAAUAUGUGAAGCUUGCAGACACGUGGAAGCACGGAUUCCGUGAUAGAAAGCAUGUGGCCAUGAGAGGCCUUAGUAAAGAGACAGUAGUGAAGCUUUAAGAUUGCUUGAACAAGAGAGGGAAUCACGCCUUUACCGCAGGCUUUCUUGGGGAUAGCCAGGAUCAAUUACCAGGUAACAAAGCAUAGAUAAUUCAUAUUGGAUGGGAAGGUAAUGAUGACACCUUUUGGGUGUGUUGACCUCAACCGGCCCUUUUACUGAGGAAUUCGAGUCCGCACCGAAUGUUAAUGAGUUUGCAUAUGUCAG
RNAcentral lists this long non-coding RNA (2129 nucleotides) under Monodelphis domestica (gray short-tailed opossum). RNAcentral's name for it is "lncRNA (ENSMODG00000042863.1)". The record is from RNAcentral. Lineage: Eukaryota; Metazoa; Chordata; Mammalia; Didelphimorphia; Didelphidae.